Molecule: ribosomal RNA, 488 nt
Filed under: Bacillus sp. B14905
Lineage: Bacteria; Bacillati; Bacillota; Bacilli; Caryophanales; Bacillaceae
Description: bacterial SSU rRNA
Rfam family: Bacterial small subunit ribosomal RNA
Source: RNAcentral
UGUCGUCAGCUCGUGUCGUGAGAUGUGGGUAAGUCCCGCAACGAGCGCAACCCUUGAUCUUAGUUGCCAUCAUUUAGUUGGGCACUCUAAGGUGACUGCCGGUGACAAACCGGAGGAAGGUGGGGAUGACGUCAAAUCAUCAUGCCCCUUUAUGACCUGGGCUACACACGUGCUACAAUGGACGAUACAAACGGUUGCCAACUCGCGAGAGGGAGCUAAUCCGAUAAAGUCGUUCUCAGUUCGGAUUGUAGGCUGCAACUCGCCUACAUGAAGCCGGAAUCGCUAGUAAUCGCGGAUCAGCAUGCCGCGGUGAAUACGUUCCCGGGCCUUGUACACACCGCCCGUCACACCACGAGAGUUUGUAACACCCGAAGUCGGUGAGGUAACCUUUUGGAGCCAGCCGCCGAAGGUGGGAUAGAUGAUUGGGGUGAAGUCGUAACAAGGUAGCCGUAUCGGAAGGUGCGGCUGGAUCACCUCCUUUCUAAGGA